This 497-nucleotide ribosomal RNA is filed under the name uncultured bacterium. Its description in RNAcentral is "partial 16S ribosomal RNA". It matches the Rfam family "Bacterial small subunit ribosomal RNA", at positions 28 to 507 of the family's 1533-position model. The record is from RNAcentral.
GAUGAACGCUGGCGGCGUGCCUAAUACAUGCAAGUCGAGCGAACAGACGAGGAGCUUGCUCCUCUGACGUUAGCGGCGGACGGGUGAGUAACACGUGGAUAACCUACCUAUAAGACUGGGAUAACUUCGGGAAACCGGAGCUAAUACCGGAUAAUAUAUUGAACCGCAUGGUUCAAUAGUGAAAGACGGUUUUGCUGUCACUUAUAGAUGGAUCCGCGCCGCAUUAGCUAGUUGGUAAGGUAACGGCUUACCAAGGCAACGAUGCGUAGCCGACCUGAGAGGGUGAUCGGCCACACUGGAAGUGAGACAGGGUCCAGACUCCGACGGGAGGCAGCAGUAGGGAAUCUUCCGCAAGGGGGGAAAGCCUGACGGAGCAACGCCGCGUGAGUGAUGAAGGUCUUCGGAUCGUAAAACUCUGUUAUUAGGGAAGAACAAAUGUGUAAGUAACUAUGCACGUCUUGACGGUACCUAAUCAGAAAGCCACGGCUAACUACGUG